This 1369-nucleotide ribosomal RNA is filed under the name uncultured bacterium. RNAcentral describes it as "bacterial SSU rRNA". It matches the Rfam family "Bacterial small subunit ribosomal RNA", at positions 28 to 1381 of the family's 1533-position model. The record is from RNAcentral.
GACGAACGCUGGCGGCGUGCCUAAUACAUGCAAGUAGAACGCUGAGGUUUGGUGUUUACACUAGACUGAUGAGUUGCGAACGGGUGAGUAACGCGUAGGUAACCUGCCUCAUAGCGGGGGAUAACUAUUGGAAACGAUAGCUAAUACCGCAUAAGAGUAAUUAACACAUGUUGGUUAUUUAAAAGGAGCAAUUGCUUCACUGUGAGAUGGACCUGCGUUGUAUUAGCUAGUUGGUGAGGUAAAGGCUCACCAAGGCGACGAUACAUAGCCGACCUGAGAGGGUGAUCGGCCACACUGGGACUGAGGCACGGCCCAGACUCCUACGGGAGGCAGCAGUAGGGAAUCUUCGGCAAUGGACGGAAGUCUGACCGAGCAACGCCGCGUGAGUGAAGAAGGUUUUCGGAUCGUAAAGCUCUGUUGUUAGAGAAGAACGUUGGUAGGAGUGGAAAAUCUACCAAGUGACGGUAACUAACCAGAAAGGGACGGCUAACUACGUGCCAGCAGCCGCGGUAAUACGUAGGUCCCGAGCGCUGUCCGGAUUUAUUGGGCGUAAAGCGAGCGCAGGCGGUUCUUUAAGUCUGAAGUUAAAGGCAGUGGCUUAACCAUUGUACGCUUUGGAAACUGGAGGACUUGAGUGCAGAAGGGGAGAGUGGAAUUCCAUGUGUAGCGGUGAAAUGCGUAGAUAUAUGGAGGAACACCGGUGGCGAAAGCGGCUCUCUGGUCUGUAACUGACGCUGAGGCUCGAAAGCGUGGGGAGCAAACAGGAUUAGAUACCCUGGUAGUCCACGCCGUAAACGAUGAGUGCUAGGUGUUAGGCCCUUUCCGGGGCUUAGUGCCGCAGCUAACGCAUUAAGCACUCCGCCUGGGGAGUACGACCGCAAGGUUGAAACUCAAAGGAAUUGACGGGGGCCCGCACAAGCGGUGGAGCAUGUGGUUUAAUUCGAAGCAACGCGAAGAACCUUACCAGGUCUUGACAUCCUUCUGACCGGCCUAGAGAUAGGCUUUCUCUUCGGAGCAGAAGUGACAGGUGGUGCAUGGUUGUCGUCAGCUCGUGUCGUGAGAUGUUGGGUUAAGUCCCGCAACGAGCGCAACCCCUAUUGUUAGUUGCCAUCAUUAAGUUGGGCACUCUAGCGAGACUGCCGGUAAUAAACCGGAGGAAGGUGGGGAUGACGUCAAAUCAUCAUGCCCCUUAUGACCUGGGCUACGCACGUGCUACAAUGGUUGGUACAACGAGUCGCAAGCCGGUGACGGCAAGCUAAUCUCUUAAAGCCAAUCUCAGUUCGGAUUGUAGGCUGCAACUCGCCUACAUGAAGUCGGAAUCGCUAGUAAUCGCGGAUCAGCACGCCGCGGUGAAUACGUUCCCGGGCCU